UCGGUUGAUCCUGCCGGAGGUUACUGCUAUAGGAGUUCGAUUAAGCCAUGCGAGUCUAAAGGUUUCUUCGGAAACCUUGGCGGACUGCUCAGUAACACGUGGAUAACCUACCCUUGGGACUGGAAUAACCCCGGGAAACUGGGGAUAAUACCGGAUAGAUCAGGGAUGCUGGAAUGCACCUUGAUCCAAAGCUCCGGCGCCCAAGGAUGGGUCUGCGGCCUAUCAGGUAGUAGUGGGUGUAACGUACCUACUAGCCAACGACGGGUACGGGUUGUGAGAGCAAGAGCCCGGAGAUGGAUUCUGAGACACGAAUCCAGGCCCUACGGGGUGCAGCAGGCGCGAAACCUUUACAAUGUGCGAAAGCAUGAUAAGGGAACUCCGAGUGCCAGCAUCUAAUGUUGGCUGUCCUUGUGCCUAAAACGCACAAGAUAGCAAGGGCCGGGUAAGACCGGUGCCAGCCGCCGCGGUAACACCGGCGGCCCGAGUGGUAGCCGCUAUUAUUGGGUCUAAAGGGUCCGUAGCCGGUUCGAUAAGUCCUCUGGGAAAUCUGGUUGCUUAACAAUCAGACUGCCAAGGGAUACUGUCGAACUUGAGACCGGGAGANGUAAGAGGUACUUCAGGGGUAGGAGUGAAAUCUUGUAAUCCCUGGGGNACCAUCUGUGGCGAANGCGUCUUANCANAACGGGUCUGACNGGUGAGGNACGAAAGCUGGGGGCGCAAACCGGNAUUANNUACCCNGGUAGUCCCNGCCGUAANCNAUGCUCGCUAUGUGUCAGGUACGGUGUGACCGUAUCUGGU
RNAcentral lists this ribosomal RNA (798 nucleotides) under uncultured archaeon. RNAcentral's name for it is "bacterial SSU rRNA". It matches the Rfam family "Archaeal small subunit ribosomal RNA", at positions 4 to 799 of the family's 1478-position model. The record is from RNAcentral.